Molecule: transfer RNA, 73 nt
Filed under: Tyzzerella sp. An114
Lineage: Bacteria; Bacillati; Bacillota; Clostridia; Lachnospirales; Lachnospiraceae
Also listed under: 1 other name
Rfam family: tRNA
About the family: Transfer RNA (tRNA) molecules are approximately 80 nucleotides in length. Their secondary structure includes four short double-helical elements and three loops (D, anti-codon, and T loops).
Source: Rfam by way of RNAcentral
GCUGAUGUAGCUCAGUUGGUAGAGCACCGCAUUGGUAGUGCGGAGGUCUCGGGUUCAAAUCCCGUCAUCAGCU